Molecule: ribosomal RNA, 417 nt
Filed under: uncultured beta proteobacterium
Lineage: Bacteria; Pseudomonadati; Pseudomonadota; Betaproteobacteria
Description: bacterial SSU rRNA
Rfam family: Bacterial small subunit ribosomal RNA
Source: RNAcentral
AAUGGGGGCAACCCUGAUCCAGCAAUGCCGCGUGUGUGAAGAAGGCCUUCGGGUUGUAAAGCACUUUUGUCCGGGAAGAAAUCGCACCUGAUAAUACCGGGUGUGGAUGACGGUACCGGAAGAAUAAGGACCGGCUAACUACGUGCCAGCAGCCGCGGUAAUACGUAGGGUCCAAGCGUUAAUCGGAAUUACUGGGCGUAAAGCGUGCGCAGGCGGUUGUGCAAGACCGAUGUGAAAUCCCCGGGCUUAACCUGGGAAUUGCAUUGGUGACUGCACGGCUAGAGUGUGUCAGAGGGGGGUAGAAUUCCACGUGUAGCAGUGAAAUGCGUAGAGAUGUGGAGGAAUACCGAUGGCGAAGGCAGCCCCCUGGGAUAACACUGACGCUCAUGCACGAAAGCGUGGGGAGCAAACAGGAUU